RNAcentral lists this ribosomal RNA (192 nucleotides) under Triticum aestivum (bread wheat). RNAcentral's name for it is "partial small subunit ribosomal RNA". Lineage: Eukaryota; Viridiplantae; Streptophyta; Magnoliopsida; Poales; Poaceae. The record is from RNAcentral.
AUGGGUUGUUGGAGCCUCAAGCACUUGCCUGCCGUUGCUAAGCAAUGUCCCAAAGUAGACUACGAGAAGGAAUGGUGGGGCAGCUUGGAGUGGGACGAGGGGGGUGCCAACCACCACCCUUCGCUCUACAAGUUGGGGCACUCAAGGUACUACAAGAAGGCCCAGCAGCCUAGAGGCACCGUACUCAGGUGA